Molecule: small nuclear RNA, 321 nt
Filed under: Nannospalax galili (Upper Galilee mountains blind mole rat)
Lineage: Eukaryota; Metazoa; Chordata; Mammalia; Rodentia; Spalacidae
Description: 7SK RNA (ENSNGAG00000007921.1)
Rfam family: 7SK RNA
About the family: 7SK was discovered as an abundant small nuclear RNA in the mid-70s but a possible function has only recently been suggested. Two independent studies have found that 7SK RNA binds the CDK9/cyclin T complex (known as elongation factor P-TEFb). P-TEFb activates transcription by phosphorylating the C-terminal domain of RNA polymerase II.
Source: Rfam by way of RNAcentral
GGAUGUGAAGACUGUCUGUCUGUGACAACUAGUGUCAUUGAUCACUAGGGUUGAUUAGGCUGAUCUGAAUGGCUAGGUGGUGUCCCCUUCUUCCCUCAACACUCCAUGUGUGCAUCUCCAGAAGCCACAUGGGAUGAAGAGGACAACCUUCCCUGAUACAGGAAGACUCAUCUUCAGUCAAGGAUACACAAGUAGCUGUGUUCCCCUGCUAGAACCUCCAAACAAGCUCCCAAGAAAAACUAGGACAGAAGUAGUUUUAACAAGUAGGGAAGACAGGGGAAUGUUCCUCAGAAUUCUUACCUAGCAUUCAGGAAGUCCUGG